GCGCUCGUAGCUCAGCUGGAUAGAGCAUCAGACUACGAAUCUGAGGGCCGGGAGUUCGAAUCUCUCCGAGCGCGCCA
This 77-nucleotide transfer RNA is filed under the name Geobacter pickeringii. RNAcentral's name for it is "tRNA-Arg (ACG) (tRNA-Arg-ACG-1-1)". It matches the Rfam family "tRNA". Rfam says of the family: Transfer RNA (tRNA) molecules are approximately 80 nucleotides in length. Lineage: Bacteria; Pseudomonadati; Thermodesulfobacteriota; Desulfuromonadia; Geobacterales; Geobacteraceae. The record is from RNAcentral. RNAcentral also lists the same sequence under 2 other names.